Molecule: ribosomal RNA, 1028 nt
Filed under: Xiphinema conurum
Lineage: Eukaryota; Metazoa; Nematoda; Enoplea; Dorylaimida; Longidoridae
Description: SSU rRNA
Rfam family: Eukaryotic small subunit ribosomal RNA
Source: RNAcentral
UCGUUUACUAGAAAAUAGUUGUCCUACUUGGAUAACUGUGGCAAUUCUAGAGCUAAUACAUGCGAAAAAACUCUGACCGCAAGGAACGAGUGCAUUUAUUAGAAUAAAAACCAAUCGGGUGUAAAAAGCCCGUGAUUUGGUGAAUCUGAAUAACUUUGCCGAUCGCACGGUCCUAGUACCGGCGACGUAUCUUUCAAGUGUCUGCCUUAUCAACUUUCGAUGGUAGGUUAUACGCCUACCAUGGUAGUAACGGGUAACGGAGAAUAAGGGUUCGACUCCGGAGAGGGAGCCUGAGAAACGGCUACCACAUCCAAGGAAGGCAGCAGGCGCGCAAAUUACCCACUUCCAGAACGGAGAGGUAGUGACGAAAAAUAACGAGACAGUCCUCUUCGAGGUCUGUCAUCGGAAUGGGUACAAUUUAAAUCCUUUAACGAGGAUCUAUUGGAGGGCAAGUCUGGUGCCAGCAGCCGCGGUAAUUCCAGCUCCAAUAGCGUAUAUUAAAGUUGUUGCGGUUAAAACGCUCGUAGUUGGAUCUGCGGUUUUCGGAGAACGGUCCCCCGAAAGGGUGGUCACUGUUACUCCAAGCCUAAAUAUUCAGUCCGUUCUACGGUGCUCUUAACCGAGUGCCUAGAUCGACUGGAACGUUUACUUUGAAAAAUUAGAGUGCUCAAAGCAGGCGGAAUAGCCUGAAUAAGGUGCAUGGAAUAAUGGAAUAGGACCUCGGUUCUAUUUUGUUGGUUUCGGAAUCUGAGGUAAUGAUUAAGAGGAACAGACGGGGGCAUUCGUAUUCCGGCGCUAGAGGUGAAAUUCUUGGACCGCCGGAAGACGGACGACUGCGAAAGCAUUUGCCAAGAAUGUUUUCAUUAAUCAAGAACGAAAGUUAGAGGUUCGAAGGCGAUCAGAUACCGCCCUAGUUCUAACCGUAAACGAUGACAACCAGCGAUUAGUCGGCGUUAAUAUAAGACCCGACUAGCAGCUUCCGGGAAACCAAAGUUUUUCGUUUCCGGGGGAAGUAUGGUUGCAAAGCU